UACAGAGGUCUCAAGCGUUGUUCGGAUUCAUUGGGCAUAAAGGGUGCGUAGGUGGUUUGGUAAGUUGAAGGUGAAAUCUCGGAGCUUAACUCCGAAACUGCCUUCAAUACUGCCGGACUUGAGGACUGUAGAGGAGAAUGGAAUUCACGGUGUAGCAGUGAAAUGCGUAGAUAUCGUGAGGAAGACCAGUGGCGAAGGCGAUUCUCUGGGCAGUUCCUGACACUGAGGCACGAAGGCUAGGGGAGCAAACGGG
This 253-nucleotide ribosomal RNA is filed under the name uncultured bacterium. Its description in RNAcentral is "partial 16S ribosomal RNA". It matches the Rfam family "Bacterial small subunit ribosomal RNA", at positions 524 to 776 of the family's 1533-position model. The record is from RNAcentral.